This 432-nucleotide long non-coding RNA is filed under the name Anas platyrhynchos (mallard). RNAcentral's name for it is "lncRNA (ENSAPLG00020000309.1)". Lineage: Eukaryota; Metazoa; Chordata; Aves; Anseriformes; Anatidae. The record is from RNAcentral.
CUUUGGUAUAGUUUCUUCAAGUUCUGAAUUAAUUUGUUUUCACAGAGAAAAAUCUAAUCUUUCUCUGACACUCUGCAAUGAGAAGAAUGAGGUUAUAGCCCAUGCUGUCUUUCUGGACUAUCCAAAUUGGAAUAUCACUGAUCAAUCUGAUUGGGAAUCAUUCUUACAUAAAAACUACCUUAACAACAAAUGCACUCCUUUGAACACGCUGUUCAUGCAUCUUUUUGUGGCAAAAGAGGAAUAUGCAGCUGGAUGUUCCCAAGAAAUUAUUAGGAAGGUUUUUAUUGAAAUACCAGAACUGCAGUUCAUACUUCUCUUCAUACCAGCUGAUGAGAAUUUAGAGCCAGGCUUGGAAAGCGCCUUUGAAAAGAUGGUAACUGCUCCAGGUUCAGCAGUGGAUGCAAACUUUACUUUGCUUAUGAGCCCCAGACA